GUGCUCACUUUGGCAGAAUAUAUACUAAAAUUGGAAUGAUACAGAGAAGAUUAGCAUGGCCUCUGAGCAAGGAUGACAUGCAAAUUCAUGAAGUAUUCCAUAUAAAA
Small nuclear RNA from Callithrix jacchus (white-tufted-ear marmoset), 107 nucleotides. The record is from Ensembl. NCBI's taxonomy places the organism in Eukaryota, Metazoa, Chordata, Mammalia, Primates, Cebidae.